RNAcentral lists this unclassified non-coding RNA (1469 nucleotides) under Diabrotica virgifera virgifera (western corn rootworm). RNAcentral's name for it is "uncharacterized MFS-type transporter C09D4.1". The record is from RNAcentral. Lineage: Eukaryota; Metazoa; Arthropoda; Insecta; Coleoptera; Chrysomelidae.
UAAUAAAAUGUAAUAACACAGACGCAUAUUAUUUAUUGUUAAAUUUCAAGGGACUCACUACUUGAUUGAUGUUAAAGUGUAGUUAUGCAUAGUUAGACAGUAGUUUGGGUGGCUGUUAUUACUAGUACGUGUUUAAGGUCGGCCACGGUGAUUUAUUUCUGCUGAUAUAGUACGUGGUGAAGUCAAAGCAAACAAUGAAUAGCGGGGAUGUGGACUUCUCCAAGCAAUUGCCGACUAUAGAAAGAAUACAAGUGUACGGAAUAAGAUGGAUAGUGUUAGGAAUAUUUGUCUUCUAUUCUGCUGUAAAUGCCAUGCAAUGGAUACAAUUUUCGAUUAUAAACGAUGUGGUGGUUAAAUACUAUGGGAUAUCUUCAAUGUGGGUAGAUUGGACUUCCAUAAUAUAUAUGGUUUUAUACGUUCCGUUUGUUUUUCCUGCCAGUUAUUUAUUAGAAAAAUUGGGGCUGCGAAAAUUUGUGAUAAUAGGUAUGUUACUAACAUGCAUAGGCUCGUGGAUUAAAGUAGGUGCAGUGCAUCCAGAUCGUUUUUAUAUAGCUUUUAUUGGACAAACAGUUGCUGGUUUCGCCCAAAUUUUUAUACUGUCCGUACCUGCUAGAUUAGCCGCUGUUUGGUUUGGGCCUUCCCAAGUAUCUUCAGCUUGCAGUAUAGGAGUUUUUGGAAAUCAGUUGGGUGUUGCGUUAGGCUUCCUAUUACCUCCAAUAUUUGUAAGUGCUGAUUCAACUAUUGACCAAAUGACACAUGAUUUUUAUGUUAUGUUCAUUUCUGUCGGUGCGUUCACCACACUACUUCUUGUGAUUAUUAUUUUGUUUUUUAAAGAUAAACCACCGACUCCACCAUCACAUGCUGCUCUUCAACAAGAAUCAGAAACGAUCGAUUUUAUGAAUUCCUUAAAAGAUUUGUGUAAAAAUAAAUCUUUUGUGUUUUUGUUGGUGGCUUACGGAAUAAACGUUGGAGUAUUUUACGCAAUCUCUACUCUUCUUAAUCAGAUUGUAUUACUAUAUUAUCCAGGAGCAAGUGCAGACGCUGGCCGAAUUGGACUUGUCAUUGUGGUAGCUGGUAUGUUAGGAUCUGUUUGUUGUGGCAUUAUACUUGACAAAUAUCAUAAAUUCAAGGAAACCACAUUGGUAGUAUAUGGAUUUUCUCUUGUUGGUAUGGUCAUAUUUACCUUUACUAUAUCUAAAGGAAUUUAUGUUGUGUACAUAAUAUCUGGACUUCUUGGACGAGUUUUCUAACGAACGUCAGAGGCUUCUCAUCAACCAAAGUGAAGAUAUAAACUAUACCGAGGAGAUUUAGCUUCUGUCAUUGUCUAUGCACUGUUUAUAGAUAAUAUGAAGACCUAUACCUAGUGUAAAAUUGUGUAUAAUGUUUUAUACAAAGAAAAGCAGCACACAAGAUGAAUUUAUAUUAUAUAUAUUUAUAUUUAUUUAUAUAUAAUUUAUAUAUAGGUACAU